GUCUAGAGGCUUCGACAAUGCCCGAAAGGGUGAUCGAGCGAUGCCGCGUGCGGGAUGAAGGCCUUCGGGUUGUAAACCGCUUUUACCUGGGAAGAACGCCCGUCUCGUGAAGAUGGGUUUGACGGUACCAGAGGAAUAAGCCCCGGCAAACUCUGUGCCAGCAGCCGCGGUAAUACAGAGGUCUCAAGCGUUGUUCGGAAUUAUUGGGCGUAAAGGGCGCGGAGGCGGGAAGGGGUGUCGACCUGUAAAUCUAUCGUUUCAAGCGGUAGGCUUGGGUUGAAACUGCCUUUCUAGAGGAUUUCAGGGGAGUUUGGAAUUUACGGUGUAGCAGUGAAAUGCGUGGAUAUCGUAAGGAAGGCUUGUGGCGAAGGCGAAACUCUGGGGAAUACCUGACGCUGAGGCGCGAAGGCUAGGUUAGCAAACGGGAUUAGAAACCCCGGUAGUCC
This 446-nucleotide ribosomal RNA is filed under the name uncultured bacterium. RNAcentral's name for it is "partial 16S ribosomal RNA". It matches the Rfam family "Bacterial small subunit ribosomal RNA", at positions 354 to 796 of the family's 1533-position model. The record is from RNAcentral.